GACGAACGCUGGCGGCGUGCCUAAUACAUGCCAGUCGAACGAGAGCGACCGGUGCUUGCACUGGUCAAUCUAGUGGCGAACGGGUGAGUAACACGUGGGUAACCUGCUCAUCAGAGGGGGAUAACAUCCGGAAACGGAUGCUAAAACCGCAUAGGUCUUCGAGCCGCAUGGCUUGAAGAGGAAAAGAGGCGCAAGCUUCUGCUGAUGGAUGGACCCGCGGUGCAUUAGCUAGUUGGUGAGGUAACGGCUCACCAAGGCCGUGAUGCAUAGCCGACCUGAGAGGGUGAUCGGCCACAUUGGGACUGAGACACGGCCCAAACUCCUACGGGAGGCAGCAGUAGGGAAUCUUCCGCAAUGGACGCAAGUCUGACGGAGCAACGCCGCGUGAGUGAAGAAGGUUUUCGGAUCGUAAAACUCUGUUGUUAGAGAAGAACAAGUGCUAGAGUAACUGUUAGCGCCUUGACGGUAUCUAACCAGAAAGCCACGGCUAACUACGUG
RNAcentral lists this ribosomal RNA (498 nucleotides) under uncultured bacterium. RNAcentral's name for it is "partial 16S ribosomal RNA". It matches the Rfam family "Bacterial small subunit ribosomal RNA", at positions 28 to 507 of the family's 1533-position model. The record is from RNAcentral.